RNAcentral lists this non-coding RNA (213 nucleotides) under Erysipelotrichaceae bacterium. RNAcentral's name for it is "T-box sequence". It matches the Rfam family "T-box leader". From Rfam's summary of the family: Uncharged tRNA acts as the effector for transcription antitermination of genes in the T-box leader family. T-boxes are found upstream of many aminoacyl-tRNA synthetase genes and some amino acid biosynthetic genes usually in Gram-positive bacteria. The anticodon of a specific tRNA base pairs to a specifier sequence within the T-box motif, and the NCCA acceptor tail of the tRNA base pairs to a conserved bulge in the T-box antiterminator hairpin. Lineage: Bacteria; Bacillati; Bacillota; Erysipelotrichia; Erysipelotrichales; Erysipelotrichaceae. The record is from RNAcentral.
AAAAAAGCGUAGAACAGGUUUUUUAUAACGCCAUUUCGAUUCAUAGAGACGAUGCGGCUGGUGGAAGCAUCGACGAAACGUUAUAAGCAGCCCCUGUGAGCGAUCCUAUGAAAAUCAGUAAUAGGAUCCGGAGCCAAACCGUUAUCAUGGAAGAGGUUUUCAUUGAGGAUGAAAACGAAAAAGGGUGGUACCGCGAAGAUCUUCGUCCCUUGA